GCAAUGUCCCAGCGAGCAGAUGCCUCCCAGUGUGGCGGGGUUGUGGUCGAGUUUGAGUCGGAACACAUCAAGAAUGCAAGAGCUAAGAGAACUAAGAGUAUACCAGGCUCAGCUCUCAUCUACCUCAAAGGCCCCAAGUUUCUCAUCUAUGUCAGUGGGGCAUUGUCAAUGUGGGGGGACCGCAUGUGGCACUUUGCAAUCUCUGUGUUCCUGAUUGAACUGUAUGGCCGUAACUUACUGUUGACGGCUGUGUUUGGACUGGUAGUGGCUGGGUCAGUGCUCCUCCUUGGAGCUUUGAUUGGAGACUGGGUUGAUCGUAAUCCGAGGAAUAAAGGUAUGCACAGUGUAUUCACAUCCAUUCAAAGAUGUUUCCUGUAGUUAAUCAUAGAAGAGUUAUCAGCAAAUAUCAAUCUUGGGCACAGACUGUCUGCUGGGUCCUGCAGGUGGAAAAUUGCAUUGCACCCUUGCUGUUGGAAGUAUAAAUGAGUCCCUGAUUUGAUAGCUAGACUCAAUACCAG
This is a long non-coding RNA of Notolabrus celidotus (New Zealand spotty), 518 nucleotides long. RefSeq lists it as uncharacterized. The transcript has 3 exons. NCBI's taxonomy places the organism in Eukaryota, Metazoa, Chordata, Actinopteri, Labriformes, Labridae. The record is from RefSeq and is a predicted model, not a curated record.